UUCUGACCGUAAACGAUGCCAACUAGCGAUCCGCCGGCGGAUACAUUCGCCCUGGUGGGGAGCUUCCCGGAAACGAAAGUCUUCCGGUUCCGGGGGAAGUAUGGUUGCAAAGCUGAAACUUAAAGGAAUUGACGGAAGGGCACCACCAGGAGUGGAGCCUGCGGCUUAAUUUGACUCAACACGGGGAAACUCACCCGGCCCGGACACCGUAAGGAUUGACAGAUUGAUAGCUUUUUCAUGAUUCGGUGGAUGGUGGUGCAUGGCCGUUCUUAGUUCGUGGAGCGAUUUGUCUGGUUUAUUCCGAUAACGAGCGAGACUCUGGCCUACUAAAUAGUUGGCGCAUUGCUACUGUGCGCACUACACUUCUUAGAGGGAUUUUCGGUGUUCAGCCGCACGAAAUUGAGCAAUAACAGGUCUGUGAUGCCCUUAGAUGUCCGGGGCUGCACGCGCGCUACACUGGCAAAAUCAGCGUGCUUGUCCUUCCCCGAAAGGGGUUGGUAAACCCGUGAAAAUUUGCCGUGAUUGGGAUCGGACAUUGCAAUUAUUGUCCGUGAACGAGGAAUUCCUUGUAGGGGCGAGUCAUCAACUCGCUCUG
RNAcentral lists this ribosomal RNA (595 nucleotides) under Helicotylenchus sp. 804S-007. Its description in RNAcentral is "SSU rRNA". It matches the Rfam family "Eukaryotic small subunit ribosomal RNA", at positions 1024 to 1643 of the family's 1831-position model. The record is from RNAcentral. Lineage: Eukaryota; Metazoa; Nematoda; Chromadorea; Rhabditida; Hoplolaimidae.